GUCGAGCGACAGUAGCAAUACUGGAGCGGCAAACGGGUGCGUAACACGUGAGCAAUCUGCCCUUAAGACCGGAAUAGCCCAGGGAAACUUGGAUUAACACCGGAUGUGGAGAAGUCAGGCAUCUGAUUUCUUCCAAAGCUUGUAACGGCGCUUAAGGAGGAGCUCGCGGCCUAUCAGCUAGUUGGCGAGGUAACGGCUCACCAAGGCUAAGACGGGUAACUGGUCUGAGAGGAUGAUCAGUCACACUGGAACUGAGACACGGUCUAGACACCUACGGGUGGCAGCAGUUUCGAAUCGUUCACAAUGGGGGCAACCCUGGUGGCGCGACGCCGCGUGGGGGAUGAAGGUCUUCGGAUUGUAAACUCCUGUCAUUGGGGACUAAUGGCCAGGCUCAUACCCUGGUUUGAAUUAACCCAAAGAGGAAGCAGUGGCUAACUCUGUGCCAGCAGCCGCGGUAAUACAGAGACUGCAAGCGUUACUCGGAUUCACUGGGCGUAAAGGGAGCGCAGGCGGACUCGUGUGUCGGACGUGAAAUACCGGGGCUUAACCCCGGUGCUGCGUUCGAAACUACGAGUCUAGAGACUUGGAGGGGUAAGCGGAAUUCUUGGUGGAGCAGUGAAAUGCGUAGAUAUCAAGAGGAACACCAGCGGCGAAGGCAGCUUACUGGACAAGAUCUGACGCUCAGGCUCGAAAGCGUGGGGAGCAAAAGGGAUUAGAUACCCCUGUAGUCCACGCUGUAAACGGUGCGCA
RNAcentral lists this ribosomal RNA (750 nucleotides) under uncultured bacterium. Its description in RNAcentral is "bacterial SSU rRNA". It matches the Rfam family "Bacterial small subunit ribosomal RNA", at positions 61 to 815 of the family's 1533-position model. The record is from RNAcentral.